GGUUAAGCGACUAAGCGUACACGGUGGAUGCCCUGGCAGUCAGAGGCGAUGAAGGACGUGCUAAUCUGCGAAAAGCGCCGGCGAGGUGAUAUGAACCCUUGACCCGGCGAUGUCCGAAUGGGGAAACCCAGUGUGUUCCGACACACUAUCGUUAACUGAAUACAUAGGUUAACGAGGCGAACCGGGGGAACUGAAACAUCUAAGUACCCCGAGGAAAAGAAAUCAACCGAGAUUCCCCCAGUAGCGGCGAGCGAACGGGGAGCAGCCCGGAGUCUGAAUCAGCUUGUGUGUUAGUGGAACGGUCUGGAAAGUCCGACGGUACAGGGUGAUAGUCCCGUACACGAAAACACACUUGCUGUGAACUCGAAGAGUAGGGCGGGACACGUGGUAUCCUGUCUGAAUAUGGGGGGACCAUCCUCCAAGGCUAAAUACUCCUGACUGACCGAUAGUGAACCAGUACCGUGAGGGAAAGGCGAAAAGAACCCCGGCGAGGGGAGUGAAAAAGAACCUGAAACCGUGUACGUACAAGCAGUGGGAGCCUCUUUAUGGGGUGACUGCGUACCUUUUGUAUAAUGGGUCAGCGACUUAUAUUCUGUAGCAAGGUUAACCGUAUAGGGGAGCCGAAGGGAAACCGAGUCUUAACUGGGCGUUAAGUUGCAGGGUAUAGACCCGAAACCCGGUGAUCUAGCCAUGGGCAGGUUGAAGGUUGGGUAACACUAACUGGAGGACCGAACCGACUAAUGUUGAAAAAUUAGCGGAUGACCUGUGGCUGGGGGUGAAAGGCCAAUCAAACCGGGAGAUAGCUGGUUCUCCCCGAAAGCUAUUUAGGUAGCGCCUCGUGAACUCAUCUUCGGGGGUAGAGCACUGUUUCGGCUAGGGGGCCAUCCCGGCUUACCAACCCGAUGCAAACUACGAAUACCGAAGAAUGUUAUCACGGGAGACACACGGCGGGUGCUAACGUCCGUCGUGAAGAGGGAAACAACCCAGACCGCCAGCUAAGGUCCCAAAGUCAUGGUUAAGUGGGAAACGAUGUGGGAAGGCACAGACAGCCAGGAUGUUGGCUUAGAAGCAGCCAUCAUUUAAAGAAAGCGUAAUAGCUCACUGGUCGAGUCGGCCUGCGCGGAAGAUGUAACGGGGCUAAACCAUGCACCGAAGCUGCGGCAGCGACGCUUAUGCGUUGUUGGGUAGGGGAGCGUUCUGUAAGCCGUUGAAGGUGUGCUGUGAGGCAUGCUGGAGGUAUCAGAAGUGCGAAUGCUGACAUAAGUAACGAUAAAGCGGGUGAAAAGCCCGCUCGCCGGAAGACCAAGGGUUCCUGUCCAACGUUAAUCGGGGCAGGGUGAGUCGACCCCUAAGGCGAGGCCGAAAGGCGUAGUCGAUGGGAAACAGGUUAAUAUUCCUGUACUUGGUGUUACUGCGAAGGGGGGACGGAGAAGGCUAUGUCAGCCGGGCGACGGUUGUCCCGGUUUAAGCAUGUAGGCGGAGGUUCCAGGUAAAUCCGGUACCUUUUAACGCUGAGGUGUGAUGACGAGGCACUACGGUGCUGAAGUGAUAAAUGCCCUGCUUCCAGGAAAAGCCUCUAAGCAUCAGGUAACACGAAAUCGUACCCCAAACCGACACAGGUGGUCAGGUAGAGAAUACCAAGGCGCUUGAGAGAACUCGGGUGAAGGAACUAGGCAAAAUGGUGCCGUAACUUCGGGAGAAGGCACGCUGAUAUGUAGGUGAAGCCCCUGCGGGCGGAGCUGAAAUCAGUCGAAGAUACCAGCUGGCUGCAACUGUUUAUUAAAAACACAGCACUGUGCAAACACGAAAGUGGACGUAUACGGUGUGACGCCUGCCCGGUGCCGGAAGGUUAAUUGAUGGGGUUAGCGGCAACGCGAAGCUCUUGAUCGAAGCCCCGGUAAACGGCGGCCGUAACUAUAACGGUCCUAAGGUAGCGAAAUUCCUUGUCGGGUAAGUUCCGACCUGCACGAAUGGCGUAAUGAUGGCCAGGCUGUCUCCACCCGAGACUCAGUGAAAUUGAACUCGCUGUGAAGAUGCAGUGUACCCGCGGCAAGACGGAAAGACCCCGUGAACCUUUACUAUAGCUUGACACUGAACACUGGUCCUUGAUGUGUAGGAUAGGUGGGAGGCUUUGAAGCGUGGACGCCAGUCUGCGUGGAGCCGUCCUUGAAAUACCACCCUUUAAUGGCUGGUGUUCUAACGUAGACCCGUGAUCCGGGUUGCGGACAGUGUCUGGUGGGUAGUUUGACUGGGGCGGUCUCCUCCCAAAGAGUAACGGAGGAGCACGAAGGUUGGCUAAUCCUGGUCGGACAUCAGGAGGUUAGUGCAAUGGCAUAAGCCAGCUUGACUGCGAGCGUGACGGCGCGAGCAGGUGCGAAAGCAGGUCAUAGUGAUCCGGUGGUUCUGAAUGGAAGGGCCAUCGCUCAACGGAUAAAAGGUACUCCGGGGAUAACAGGCUGAUACCGCCCAAGAGUUCAUAUCGACGGCGGUGUUUGGCACCUCGAUGUCGGCUCAUCACAUCCUGGGGCUGAAGUAGGUCCCAAGGGUAUGGCUGUUCGCCAUUUAAAGUGGUACGCGAGCUGGGUUUAGAACGUCGUGAGACAGUUCGGUCCCUAUCUGCCGUGGGCGCUGGAGAAUUGAGGGGGGCUGCUCCUAGUACGAGAGGACCGGAGUGGACGCAUCACUGGUGUUCGGGUUGUCAUGCCAAUGGCACUGCCCGGUAGCUAAAUGCGGAAGAGAUAAGUGCUGAAAGCAUCUAAGCACGAAACUUGCCCCGAGAUGAGUUCUCCCUGAGACCUUGAGUCUCCUGAAGGAACGUUGAAGACGACGACGUUGAUAGGUCGGGUGUGUAAGCGCAGCGAUGCGUUGAGCUAACCGAUACUAAUGAACCGUGAGGCUUAACCUU
This 2905-nucleotide ribosomal RNA is filed under the name Enterobacter hormaechei. RNAcentral's name for it is "23S ribosomal RNA". It matches the Rfam family "Bacterial large subunit ribosomal RNA". The record is from RNAcentral. Lineage: Bacteria; Pseudomonadati; Pseudomonadota; Gammaproteobacteria; Enterobacterales; Enterobacteriaceae.